AUGGAUCUGGACUGGGCGACUCACAACGGCUGGCUGCGUGAUCAACUGGCGCGCGCGCAGAACAAGUACAAGCAAAAGGCCGACAGAAACCGCACCGAGCGCUCGUUCGAAGAGGGCGACUCUGUUCUGCUCAAGCUACAACCUUACACCCAGUCGUCAGUGGCGAAUCAUCCCUGCCCCAAGUUAGCCUACAAGUUUUUCGGUCCAUUCCAGAUUCUGUAGCGCAUUGGGGCACUGGCGUACAAGCUGCGACUACCUGACGACAGUCUCAUUCAUCCAGUCUUCCACGUCUCCCAAUUGAAGCCCUAUACACCUGAUUAUACAUCAGUGUUCUCUGAGUUGCCCCGUGUACCAGACCUCAUGGUUGUUUCGUUGCAACCCAUUGCCAUCCUCGAUCGGCGCGUGGUGAAGAAAGGCAAUAGCUCUAUCGUGCAAGUGAAGGUACAAUGGUCCUCGCUCUCUCUGGACAUGGCCACUUGGGAAGAUUACUCGGUGCUUCGCCAUCGCUAUCCGGAAGCUCUCUGCUAG
RNAcentral lists this ribosomal RNA (528 nucleotides) under Triticum aestivum (bread wheat). Its description in RNAcentral is "partial small subunit ribosomal RNA". Lineage: Eukaryota; Viridiplantae; Streptophyta; Magnoliopsida; Poales; Poaceae. The record is from RNAcentral.